Molecule: ribosomal RNA, 795 nt
Filed under: uncultured bacterium
Lineage: Bacteria
Description: bacterial SSU rRNA
Rfam family: Bacterial small subunit ribosomal RNA
Source: RNAcentral
GACGGUGAUAACGCGUGGGACGUACCCCAAAUUGAGGAAUACUUGCCCGAAAAGGGUGGCUAAUGCCGCAUAUGAUCUUCGGAUUAAGGAUUUAUCCGCUUUGGGAACGGCCUGCGUACGAUUAGAUAGUUGGUGAGGUAAAGGCUCACCAAGUCAACGAUCGUUAACUGGUUUGAGAGGAUGAUCAGUCAGACUGGAACUGAGACCGGUCCAGACUCCUACGGGAGGCAGCAGUGAGGAAUAUUCCACAAUGGGCGAAAGCCUGGUGGAGCAACGCCGCGUGCAGGAUGAAGGCCUUCGGGUCGUAAACUGCUUUUAUAAGUGAAUAACAUGAAUGUAUCUUAUGAAUAAGCACCGGCUAACUACGUGCCAGCAGCCGCGGUCAUACGUAGGGUGCAAGCAUUAUCCGGAGUGACUGGGCGUAAAGAGUUGCGUAGGUGGUUUAUCAAGUGAAUAGUGAAAUCUGGUGGCUCAACCACAUAGACUAUUAUUCAAACUGGUAAACUCGAGAGUAGCAGAGGUAACUGGAAUUUCCAGUGUAGGAGUGAAAUCCGUAGAUAUUAGAAGGAACACCAAUGGCAUAGGCAGGUUACUGGGCUAUUUCUGACACUAAGGCACGAAAGCGUGGGGAGCGAACCGGAUUAGAUACCCGGGUAGUCCACGCCGUAAACGAUGAAUACUAGCUGUUGGAGGUAUCGACCCCUUCAGUAGCGAAGCUAACGCGUUAAGUAUUCCGCCCUGUGUAGUACGGUCGCAAGACUAAAACAUCAAGGAAUUGACGGGGACCAAGCACAA